RNAcentral lists this ribosomal RNA (852 nucleotides) under Triticum aestivum (bread wheat). RNAcentral's name for it is "partial small subunit ribosomal RNA". The record is from RNAcentral. Lineage: Eukaryota; Viridiplantae; Streptophyta; Magnoliopsida; Poales; Poaceae.
AUGGCGCCGCCCUGCUGCUCUCCUUCCCUUCCUUCCCAUGGCGCCGCCCUGCUGCUCUCCUUCCCUUCCUCCCCAUGGCGCCCCCUGCUGCUCUCCUUCCCUUCCUUCCCAUGGCUCUGCCCUGCUCUUCCCCUUCCUCCCCAUGGCGCCCGCCUGCUCCUUCCCUUCCUCGCCAUAGUCGACGUUGCUACUGCUGCAGAUGGCUGGGCCAAGGACGACGGAGCGGCUGCCGUAGAGGGCGGCAUGUGCGGCGCGGCCAAGAACGACGGUCCAGGCCACCACAGCAUCAUCGACAACCUGUCUCGUUGCUCCUUCCCCAACCAGAUCCAGCCCCCUCACGGCCAUGAUGAACACAUAGUCAGAGAAUCUUCAGAUCCCCAACCAGGGUGCCUUCCUGUGCAAUCUAUUACAUCUGGUAGCCAAAUUUUCGAGGAGAAGAUUGCCGCCAAAGUGGACUACUUGAAGACCACGCUCAGGUGGUCUGCUGCUGAGGUGGGCAUCGCUGUGUCUAAGGCUCCGAUGCUGCUGAGGAGGUCAAAGGACACGCUGCAGAGCAAGUCCGAGUUCCUGGUAUCUGAGGUGGGCUUGGAACCAACCCUCAUUGCUCAUCGCCCGAUAGUGCUCACUUACAGCCUGGAGGGCCGGCUCAGGCCCCAGCACUACGUUCUAAAGUUUGUCAAGGCAAGUGGGUUGCUAGAUCGUGAUCACAGCUACAUCUGCGCGGUCGGUUUGACGGAGAAUAUUUUCGUGAAGAAGUUCGUGCGCCCUCACAUCGAAGAUGCGCCGCACCUUGCUGAAGACUAUGUGGCUGCUUGCCGAGGAGAAGUACCCACUAGGUUCAUAUUUGAUUGA